Long non-coding RNA from Cynocephalus volans (Philippine flying lemur), 838 nucleotides. RefSeq lists it as uncharacterized. The transcript has 3 exons. Lineage: Eukaryota; Metazoa; Chordata; Mammalia; Dermoptera; Cynocephalidae. The record is from RefSeq and is a predicted model, not a curated record.
AACUGGCCUGAUCGACAGACAAGCUGGGUGAUAAGAGAAGACAGAGGAGGGAAAUGGCAAAUGAAGAAAGUCAUUCUCUGGCUCCUUGGAGUAUAGCUCAGAACUCCACAUUUGGAGGAAGUCAUUUCCAGAUUCAAUUUUGCUACCUGUGACGAUCUGAUUUUUACAAAUACAAGGAACGGGUAGUAUCAUUUUAGGUCAAAGGAUGGAGAGAUGGAGAGGGGAGAAGGAAGAGACAAGAAAAGAGAAAAGGAGACUCAGCAAACUCUCCCAGGUGGGACGGCAGAGAUCGAGGGAAGCGAAGGCUUAGUGUUCAGAGGCUGGCGGCGACGUUGACAGAAACUCGGUCUGGGGACAGAAGAGAGCGUCUUUCAGGAGUGCAAUUAGCUGUCAGGUCUCAGAGGACCCGUCGCCGGAAUAUCACUCUGCGUGGCUGCAGGAGGGGAGCGGGUCGCCUGGAGGCCUGGGGCAGGCUGGGUGCGCUCUGGCACGCGGGGCUGCUGACGUCAGGACUUCGAACGGCCCUGAGCCCGGCCGACGUGAGGUCCAGGGCAACCGCGCUGCCUGCUCUUGCCGAGCUCGUACAUGUCCGGCCACUUGGAGCGUCUUCGGACCCGCCGGGCGCUGAGCCCCACCUUGCGGGAGGCCGCUGAGCGGCCGCGGCGUGAACCGGCGCGUGCAGGUGGACGCGCGGCCCGGGGCCGUCCACUAACCGAGCCUCGGCGCUAGCGCGGGUGGCCGCACGACGUCGGCGAGUCUCUUUCGUCCCUUUAACUUUCCACCGGGACGUGGCCAAUAAAUAACAAUAAAACGUCUGCUUAGUUUCGUGGUCGCACUC